UCACUUUGUUGGCAAUGCUUAGAAGUCUGUCAGAGUACUCUUUUACGAUUUUGACUCUCCAUUCUUUGCAGUUCAAACUCCCUGAUUAGAUUCAGCACUUGCAUUCCACAAAUCCUCUCAUCACUUUCAUAUUCUGCCUUGAGGUAAUCCCAAAUUUCUUUUGCUGACUUCAAGGACAUUAUCCUUGUGAAUACCAUAGGAGAUACAGCUGCAAAUAGACAUGCUUUUGCCUUUGAUCUUUUCAUCUUCUUUUCCUUCUGUGAUUUUAUUUGUGCCACAGUAGGGUUUUCU
RNAcentral lists this long non-coding RNA (291 nucleotides) under Phaseolus vulgaris (common bean). Its description in RNAcentral is "long non-coding RNA (PVUL_LNC005004)". The record is from RNAcentral. Lineage: Eukaryota; Viridiplantae; Streptophyta; Magnoliopsida; Fabales; Fabaceae.